CCUACGGGAGGCAGCAGUGAGGAAUAUUGGUCAAUGGUCGGGAGACUGAACCAGCCAAGCCGCGUGAGGGAGGAAGGUACAGAGUAUCGUAAACCUCUUUUGUCAGGGAACAAAGGCGGUGACGUUUCCCCGGAUGAGUGUACCUGAAGAAAAAGCAUCGGCUAACUCCGUGCCAGCAGCCGCGGUAAUACGGAGGAUGCGAGCGUUAUCCGGAUUUAUUGGGUUUAAAGGGUGCGCGGGCGGUCUGUUAAGUCAGCGGUCAAAGCCCGGGGCUCAACCCCGGCCCGCCGUUGAUACUGGCAGGCUCGAGUUGGAGAGAAGUAUGCGGAAUGCGCGGUGUAGCGGUGAAAUGCAUAGAUAUCGCGCAGAACUCCGAUUGCGAAGGCAGCAUGCCGGCUCCACACUGACGCUGAGGCACGAAAGCGUGGGUAUCGAACAGGAUUAGAUACCCUUGUAGUC
Molecule: ribosomal RNA, 459 nt
Filed under: uncultured bacterium
Lineage: Bacteria
Description: partial 16S ribosomal RNA
Rfam family: Bacterial small subunit ribosomal RNA
Source: RNAcentral